ACCUUUGAAAAGCACUACGAGGCCAUUAGCAAGAUGCUAUCUCAAAGUGGAUUUGGGUGGGAUUGGGUCAAUAACAAGCUGUCAAUUGAUAGUGAAGAUGUGUGGCUUAAAUAUGUCGCGGCUAACAAGAAAGUAGGAUUUUACAAGAACAGGGUCAUUAAGAAUUGGGAUGCUAUCACCACCAUAUACUCAAAAGAUCAUGCAAAUGGUGAAGGUGCUGUCACUGGUGCUGAAACUGUUGUAGAACCAACUACGGAACCCAAUGAAGCCUCUCCUGAAGUGCCA
Triticum aestivum (bread wheat) is the source of this 285-nucleotide long non-coding RNA. RefSeq lists it as uncharacterized. The record is from RefSeq and is a predicted model, not a curated record. Lineage: Eukaryota; Viridiplantae; Streptophyta; Magnoliopsida; Poales; Poaceae. The transcript is spliced from 2 exons.